GAAUAAACCAUAUGACAGAGGAGAGCUGGAACACUUCACUGCGUCUGACUUCUCAUCAUUUGAUACACAAAUGAAGGAUGAUAGUUGUUCAGAAAAGUUUAAUAAUGUAAUUAAUGUCAGGCAAACAAGAAGAUGUUAAAGCAAACAGAUGAUUUCUCCUUGAGAAGCCACAUUGUACACUUUGUUUUUUAACCUCGCUCCAUGGAUGUGCUAACAAUUCAUGUCAUGGAGGACUCGUCUGACAGCGCCGUGUUCCGGGUCCAGGUUCAGUGUGCUGACACUUUCCUGCUAAACUACUGGCUCCACAAGACCUUCUUCAACAAUGGGGAAGUCCAGCAGAUCAACACUCUGAGGAUAAACGGCUGCCGUGGGCUAGUGUUUGUUUUGAGGGUGCUGCAUCGCUCUUCACGCCUCCCUAAUUCCCAUUACUGGUGCCCUUUUCUAGUAACACUCUGCCUGGAUGCCCUGGCAUUUCACUACCACCUCCCCUCUGUGCCCCAGUGGAACGGCACCCUUCGAGAGGCGAUGAGAGGAAACAGCCUUGAGCUCAGACGCUGACAGACUCGAGGCUUUGCUGUUUGCAGAUCCUGUUAGUUUCAGAUAUUUGCUUACUAAAAUGACGCACUGGAAGUAGCUCAUUUUACCGUUGUAGAUGUAGUACGUGCCGUCUUUGAACACAGCAACGGCAGGAACAUCCUGCAGGGUGACUGCCUAUGGAGAUGACCAGUUAUGAAUUGUUUUUGAAAAGGAUAAUCUGAAUAUUUUCCAGAUUAUUUUACAGAAACAUCUUACCUUUGGAAGGAUUUCCUCAGAGGCAGUAAAAAAAUAUGUGUGGACAAUAAACUCAGUGGCAGCUUUAUAGUAUUCUUUCUGUAAAAAAAAAAUAAUAAUCACAAUAAAAUAUC
Danio rerio (zebrafish) is the source of this 905-nucleotide non-coding RNA. NCBI's taxonomy places the organism in Eukaryota, Metazoa, Chordata, Actinopteri, Cypriniformes, Danionidae. The record is from Ensembl.